GCCAUCCUCAUCUAGUUGGUUUGUUCAAACCAUUUUGAUAAAGCUGACAUGACCUACCGGAUGAGUCUAAAUCAGUCGGUAACCAAGAUUCAAUCUUUUAUACACCUAGAAAACAUAAACUAAGAGAAAAGUUAAAAAAACAGGAACUUAAUUAAAAAAAAAUGUGAAAAUAAAAUCAAUUUAUUACAGCAAAGAGUUAGACGUCUUUAAAACAGGAACUUGCCCCUCAGAGGAAUCAUGAAUUACUUAAAAACGCAAGUUUUCAUUGACACAGAUUUAUAUAAUUAAAUAAAUCAAAACACGGCUACAAUAGAUUUAUGUAACAAUUUGAAUCGAAAAAAGGAGUAAAUAUAUUUAAAACUAUGAACAG
This 370-nucleotide unclassified non-coding RNA is filed under the name Melitaea cinxia (Glanville fritillary). Its description in RNAcentral is "misc RNA ENSMCXG00005020088.1". The record is from RNAcentral. Lineage: Eukaryota; Metazoa; Arthropoda; Insecta; Lepidoptera; Nymphalidae.